Molecule: long non-coding RNA, 1311 nt
Filed under: Felis catus (domestic cat)
Lineage: Eukaryota; Metazoa; Chordata; Mammalia; Carnivora; Felidae
Description: lncRNA (ENSFCAG00000050383.1)
Source: RNAcentral
AUCCCCCCUCCACGUCCCGCGAGGCCUGACCUCCGCUCGCCCACCCUCCGCGCGGCCGGUGGCGCAGCCCCAGCCCGCGGCCCUGGCUUCCCGGGCGGCGCGGCAGGGGAGGGGUUAAGCUGCCGCAGGGACGGCCGCGUGCGGGGCGAGAGGGAGCCCCCGGUGGGGGAGGCGCAGCCGGCGGUGCGGAGCCCCGCGCAGGGGCGGGAGGGGUGGGGAGGGGAGGGGGCGGCCGCGGCGCGGGGGCGGGGCGGCGGGAAGCGGGGCCGCGGCGCCGAGAGCGGGCGGGAGCUGCAGCCGCAGCGAGGCCGGCGGGCGGGAGCGCACGGAGGUGGCGCCGGCCCGGCCGGGUGCGGGCUCCGUGCCGCGCGGGUCCCAAGAGUGAGUGAGCGACAGCGGGCGAGGCGCCAGGCAGAGGAGGGCCUGGCCCCCAGGGGCCCACCCCGGGGCGGCGCAGGCGGGCCGGGGGCAGCGGGUGGAUUGGUGGGAGCGGAGUCUGCGGCCCCGGUCCCGGGUAGGUGGGAGAGAGCUGAAACGCCCUGGACGACCGGCGGGAGGGGGCGGCAUCCGCGGCGCCUCCGGCCCUUCCCAGCCACGUCUCAGCGGGACCUUCUCUCGCGGACCCCCCAUUUGACAGAUGAGAAAAUUGAGGCUCCGAGAGGCCAAGUGACUCUCAAGGUCACACAGCGAGGAGGCGACAGAGCUAGACGGGGCUGGCUCUGGGUGGCUCCUAGGAAAAGUCAGCCAGAGAACUCGGUGGAGGAGCCCCCUCCAGCCCCCGCGAGUUUGUGCAGGGGAGGGGGACGGGGUACCUUUACCGGGGGGGGGGGGACCAGGCUCUGCCAGCGUCCGGGGAUGAGGGGUGUCAGGGCGCUGCGGCCGCAGAGCUGGUUUCUGGACUGCGGAGGAAAUGGGGGCGUGUGUGCACGCCCAUGGGGUGUGUGUGCAUGUGUGGGAUUGUACAUGCGUGUAGGUGCACUGUCUUGUGUGUGUGUGUGUGUGUGUGUGCGUGCGCGUGUGCGUGUGCGCACGUGUGCGAUUUCAGAGCCUCCGUGGCCGCGGGACUCCAGGCUGGCCUGGCUCGAGCGAGCUGCAAGUCCAGAACUGGCCCCAUCAACGGGUUUGCAUUCUGGGCUAGAAAGCUGGGUAUGUGUGCCCGAGGGAUCCUUCCUGCAGGUGUGCACGGGGUGUGAGUGCCAUUGUGUGUAUGAGACAGAGGCUGGGAGGCAAGUGCCUGAGGCCCAAGUGUGUGUGUAUGGGGGGGGGGGAGGGGUCUUUCACCCCAAUGUGGGCCUCUGGCCUCAGGUAUAG